Molecule: ribosomal RNA, 254 nt
Filed under: uncultured bacterium
Lineage: Bacteria
Description: partial 16S ribosomal RNA
Rfam family: Bacterial small subunit ribosomal RNA
Source: RNAcentral
UACGGAGGGGGCAAGCGUUGUUCGGAUUUACUGGGCGUAAAGGGUGUGUAGGCGGUUGCGCAAGUCUGGUGUGAAAUCUUCACCGCUUAACGGGAAGAGGUCACUGGAAACUGCGUAACUCGAGUAUGGUAGAGGCAAGCGGAAUUCCUGGUGUAGCGGUGGAAUGUGUAGAUAUCAGGAAGAACAUCUGUGGCGAAGGCGGCUUGCUGGGCCAUCACUGACGCUGAGACACGAAAGCGUGGGGAGCAAACGGG